Molecule: ribosomal RNA, 512 nt
Filed under: uncultured bacterium
Lineage: Bacteria
Description: partial 16S ribosomal RNA
Rfam family: Bacterial small subunit ribosomal RNA
Source: RNAcentral
GACGAACGCUGGCGGCGUGCCUAAUACAUGCAAGUCGAGCGGACAGAAGGGAGCUUGCUCCCGGAUGUUAGCGGCGGACGGGUGAGUAACACGUGGGUAACCUGCCUGUAAGACUGGGAUAACUCCGGGAAACCGGAGCUAAUACCGGAUAGUUCCUUGAACCGCAUGGUUCAAGGAUGAAAGACGGUUUCGGCUGUCACUUACAGAUGGACCCGCGGCGCAUUAGCUAGUUGGUGAGGUAACGGCUCACCAAGGCGACGAUGCGUAGCCGACCUGGGCGGGUGAUCGGCCACACUGGGACUGAGACAAGGCCCAGACUCCUAAGGGAGGCAGCAGUAGGGAAUUUUCCGCAAUGGACGAAAGUCUGACGGAGCAACGCCGCGUGAGUGAUGAAGGUUUUCGGAUCGUAAAGCUCUGUUGUUAGGGAAGAACAAGUGCAAGAGUAACUGCUUGCACCUUGACGGUACCUAACCAGAAAGCCACGGCUAACUACGUGCCAGCCGCCGCGGUAA